AUGACGUCAGUUCCGGUAAGGAAACAUAGUGAGCAUCGAAGCUCCCUGGUUUUUGCGGUGCAUUGUGAGAUUUUUCAGGGAGCGAACGUUCCAGUGUUCUGAAAGGAUUUUGUGAGUGAGACGGCCCUUAAAAUGGCCGACUCCCUUAUCAGCGCGCUGAUUGAGACGCACCCAUGGUGAAGCGGUUGUGCAGAUCUGAAAAAGUUAACAUUGUGCGUAGUGCAGUACCAUCAUUAAAACUGGGGGCAGUAUAGGAUGACAUGCCGUGAUGUACGUAACGUAACGUACCAAACAAACUACAGCUGUGUCUCAUACGUAUGCACUAUUUAGACAGGUUUGUUUUUGCUUCCAUAUUUUCUCCCCAGUUUGGUCACCUGCUAACUCCCACCCACCAGCACUCCCCAUCACACAACAGCUACCAACCUGGGAGUUAAAUACGGUUAAAUAUCAGCAGCAAAUACCAGCAACGUUGCGGUGAGUAAAUAUAAAAAAAUUAAAUAAAAAACUUAACAUUUAUAAUAAAAUUAUGUCAUUUUAUUUCCACAAUUUUGGAGCGAUUUAUGUUGAUACUAGCGCAACGUAGCACUCCGUCUGUGGCUGUAUUAAAUUAGAGACUCGUUAAUAUUUAAAUUCAUUGGAAUAUUUGAUGUUUUAAAUAAUCGUACUUUGAAUUGGACCACCCUAAUACACACAUUAUGGAAAGAUGAUUCCGUGAGGCGACAAUAUAAUUACGGCAGCUGUAAUGAAAUGUUCUGAAGGACCCAUAUUACCUAGCAGCAGAUACGAUCUCGAUCUCUCUCUCUCGCUCUCUCUACACACACACACAAACACACAGCUGUUUUUACAAGGAUGCUCUGCUUCUGACGCAGGACAUUGGCGCUAGUGUAUGCAUGCUGUCAGCAGACCGAACUCUGAGGGGAACGCAGUGGAACAGCCUUCAAUCUGUGUGUGUUUUAAUGACCUGGUGGAGACGUGUAGCGUCACUGGCUUCACAGAAAUUUGUGCACAGAGUGAGAAACAGGACAGACAUUUUUUUGAGUGACAGCCGGACUGCAGAGACCGCCGACAUCAUUUCCUCAGCCUUACAUGACAGUGCAGAAAUACACUUGUCUAAUCAAAGCACUCUAGCUUGCAAUGAGCACGGAUCCAGAGAGUCUAUUCAAAACAAAACCGCUUUCAUUUAAGGUACAAAGUAUAUGAGAAUAUUUAUGAAGAAUGAGUAUACCAAUUCACAAACACAUUCAUAUAGGUUAAGUUUUUUUAAUUAGGGGUUCAAGCAGGAAGUGCUGAAAUUCUAUUGUUUUUAUAAUGAUGGUAUUAUUAUUGUUAUUAUUAUUAUCAUCAUCAUUAUUAAUAUUAUUAUUAUUCUGCCCUAAAUCCUUCAAAUGGUUUGAAGUGGGCGUGGCCACUUUACAUUAAUAGCUAUAAACUCAUGAAGGGAAUGAGAUAUUUUCACCAGACUUGGGACUUGUCUAAGCGCUCAGUUUGAAGACAGAUAUAAAAAGAAAUUACUGAGCGUGACCAGUUGAUGGUGCUGUAACGGGACAAAACAUGAAAUUGGUGGUAAAUAUGGAAACAUUGGUCCAAUCGACUUGAAAUCUUGGACGCAGUGUCAUUGUCCAAGCUCCCAUCAGGGUCUACGAGGAAAGUUAUGAAUCUUGAAAAACACGGCCGCUAUCGGCCAAUCAAUGUUCAGCAACUGUCAGACCAGCAGACUGCCGCUCAUGGUGUCCCGCCUAUGUUGUAAGUAAAAUAUAAAACGUUAUUUCUUAGCAAGCGUACGUGCUCUCACAACUGUUCAUAAUGUAGCACAGAAAGAAUAACAGCUAGUCUUUGGCACAGAUUCAUAUCAGAAGGGACCGUUUACUCCAACGCUGUAAACACCGCUAGAACACGAUUAAAGUUUAAAACAGAGACCACCUGAUUACCCUUCAACCUUUAGCAUCAAGUUUGAGAUGAUACUUUUAACGACACUAAACUUCUGACUUCCUUGUAGAAUAAGGCUCAGGAACACUGGUUUAUCAUGCAAAAGAGUGUGGAGUAUUUCAGGAAGUGCUUCUAAAAAGCAGUGUGAUGCAGCAGAAGACGUUGUGGCAUCUUGUGACUGUGUGAGGAAGUAUGAAAGGCUUCUAUGUGGAGCAUCCAGGCUCCUGGGAUUACUGUAGGCAACAGAGGAUGCAGUCAUCGUCAUACUAGUUUCCAGAUUUAUCACCUACAAGAUAGAAGCGCUAACAAUCAGAGCUUUAGAUGAACUAUCUAUAAGAACUAUAGUUCUCUUAUGACUGCAAAUCUCGCCAUUUCAGAACAUACACAUUACCUGAAUACUAUCCUAAAUAUUACUCUGUGUAUUGAGUGAAGGUUUCAUCACAUUCUUAAUAUUUAAACAGAACGGAUUUCGUAGAGGAGAAACUCAGGUCUCUGUCACGACCAAUCAGGACAAGGAGGCAGAAAGCUCCGCCUCUUUUGCUAGCCUUCAGUGUCAAUUUAAUUUUUAAUUUUUUUUUUAUGGGUGUGGCUUCUGACAAAACACUAAACUGGAUGUAAAUUUACAUUUCAAACACUUCAGUUCACUUUAAUUACCAACUCAAUCUUCUCUCUACUUCCGCUGCUCAUUAAUGCUGCGUCCUGUAGACCUCCUGUGCCGACUACAGACGUUUCUAAGACAUUUCUGCUUUUCUCCUUCUUAUUUAUUGACUUCAGUGUUACUGUCCUGAUGUUGUUUCGCUGUACUGAUAUGUCAUGGUUAUCAUUUCAUCAUCAGCUGCCGAAGGUUAAACAGUCACCUUUCCUGGUAAUGUACUGGCUUCUCUUCACACAAUUCCUUGCACUACCUGUGUGUUCAAAUCCUCCUGGGAAGCUCGUAUUUACGAGACAUAAUUACCAAGUCAGGUCACUUUGGUCAGAACAAGAUGGCGGCGUACCUUCUCUUAGUUAACUACAGAAAAUACAGCAAGGUUUUUUUUUUUUAAAACUCUACUUCUAGGAAAUGAACAACGAAUGCACCUGAGGUGUGUUUAGCUUUUAAAAAAUAUUUUGAAUCAAUUCAUGAAGCCACUGUAAACUUUACCGCUACGUAUUAUAUUGUAAUUGUACAGUGCAGGCUAUUAACGUUCAGCGAAUGUACCGUCAACUGCAGACGCUGCAGCCAUUGAUCCCACUGUGUUUUCUUACUGACACGCCCCCAAUUAGGAAACUCGGCGCUCAAAGAAAAUCCAAAAAGAGCUUCCCACUUCUAAUGAUAACUUUGUGGUGGCUUUCAUGUGCGUUCAACUCAUAAAUACGAUCUUUCCGACAAGACUCGAGCGCACCGUUAUAAGUUUCAGCCGUGGCAAUGGCUGUGGAUUUUUCCUGGACUUCCUUGGAUUUAGACUCUGGUAUGAAUCGUCUUCCUGAUGUAUUACCUUAAAAUUCGCGUGUAUAUGUGCAUGAGUAAAAUAACUGUUGACACACACACAUAUACACACACAUAAGGUAGCAGGUGGUUGCUUCAAGUGCUACUGGAGGCAAUUAAACACAUAAGCAGCAUGGAAGAGAGAGAAAAAUUGUGUUGCCUGCUGUGUGUGAGUGUGUGUGCUCUAAAUCGUCUCUGUCUGUGUGAAAAUCACCAGCAGCAGGCUUCACCCCUCUGCAUUCUGAGCAGCUGAGAAUGCCGCUCUUCCCCCUGAAGGCCUGCGACACACCGUCGUACUCCAGUUGGUCCAUGACCUUUGACCCUGGGAGGCAGCUGGCUGAGGAUUGUGUACCUCAGAACAGAAGAUGGCUUUGUGUUGUCAUGAGUUACAAUUAGCAACAGUUCUGUCAGGGGUCAGUGCUGUAAUAAUAAUGAUGAAUGUGUUAACCCCAUUAACACCAGGUGAUUCGAAUAACAGAUAGAUUAAUGUGUUGGGAGCCACACAAGGUUUAGUGAACAGUCACAGUGAAGGAGGUGUGGCCUCUGUUCCUGUCUCAUUGAAAGAGGCGUGGCCUCUGUGCGGUCAUGCCAAGAGGCAUGAAGCCCAGUGAAGGAGGCAUGGCCUACGUGUCAGGUGGUCACAGUGAAGGAGGCGCGGCCUGCAUGUCAGGCGGUUGCAGUGAAGGAGGCGCGGUCUGCGCGUCAGGCGGUUGCGGUGAAGGAGGCGCGGCCACCGAACACUACUGAGCCACUGUAGUGUAUUGGAAUGGCACUGUAGUGAACUAUGAUUGUUCUUCCACUACACUGUUGAUCGUGUAUUGAGAUGCAUAACCCUGGAAGCAAAGAUACACACCCCUAAUGUCUCUUGGGAUAUUUUCACAACAACUGCCACAUGCUGAGGUGAAACCUGAACUGCAGAGUGUGUGAACAACACAUUUAACAAGCGGACACAGUCAGCGUACUAUCACUAGUCUACAGCCUGCAGUGUAAUGCUGAAAGACGAGGCCAUGUUUCACAAUCCCUGGAUCUGCAGUAAAAAUUCCAACACGCCCUCGUUUACUGUACGCUCGGCUCUCAGGGGGUCUGCAGAACCUCGCAUGUUUUCAGUUAAGCUGAACGUUAUCCUCAAAAAGCCUGGCUCUGACUGUCACCACCCCGUUCAUCCCUCUCUCCUCUCAGAUCUUCACCUCCAUCUGUGAUCCCUGCUCAGACCUCUUCUGCUCUGUAAUCUAUAAAAACAUGCGCUCAGCUAGCAGGCAGUGAUGUUCACCAUGCUUCACCAGCAUCAUGCAUCAGGAGACGCUGUGCUAAUUAUGCAUCGCCUUUUAUUCAUAUCCUCAGAAGGAUUUCCUAGCCUGAGCUCACAUGGACUGCAAGAUCUUCGAGCUAUUCUCGGUACUUAAGCAGAAAAUCGGUCUCACGGCAAGAAGUCUAGUAGAUCUGGUAUUUGCAGCACACGACGUAAACGACUGCAUGUUUUAUGCAUGUUGUAAAUAAAAAUUGGCUCAGUUUCCCAAAAGCAUCUUAAUCAUCUUUAAUUAUUAUUACCAACAAUGAGCAACACCCUGCUGCUGUUAGGCUCGUUAAUUAUUGACUACCACUAAGCUGCAGCAACAAGCUCCGCCCACACUUGGUUACUAUUGCUACAUAGGUCAAACUUUUGAAAAAUUAAGCUCAGGGUCACUGAGUUUUGACUACCACAAGACAUAACAGAACAGUUUUUAGGCCCUCAAUAGGAAACAAACCAACAAAAAUACUUACAACAAACAAAUGAUGACAAAAAGAAAACUCCACACAUCACAAUGCCAAUACUACAUGCUUGAGUUUGUUUAUUUCGGAUAACUUUUCUAUUUGAAAACGCUAUAAUAUAGCGAUUAGACAUGUCUUUAGACACCUGCAAAUCAGUUUUAUGUUCAACAACAUCGACUCUAUCUAUAAACAUAAAAUGCACGUGUCUUUCUUUAAUACGUUAAAAUUUGGUAUUCUCUGCAAAGUGCUGUGGUAUAAGAGGAAUAAAACACUUCGGGAUGUGCUGUAUCAGAAAAUAAUCAACUGCCGGGUGGGAACAGUAACUCCACUGGACGCUGAGCUGCAGUACAUCGCCCAGUCACUGACUAUGUUUACAUGGACAGCUGUAAUCUAAUUAUUAACCUUAUUCUCACUAAGACAAUAUUCUGAUUAAGGUGUUUACAUGAGUUGCUUUUAGAAUAUUCCUUUCGUGUUCCAGUUCAUAGAUGGAUUAACGGCACACGUCAUUACGUCCCCAAGCCACGCCGUCCGACGUUCCCUCUAGAAUUUCACGUAUCGACAUACAGUUCGUCUUUGUUAUGGGACCGUAUACAGUUUUGGGUGUUUUUAUUUUUAAUUUUACGAAAGCUUCAAGUGUGGUUAAUUAUUUGUCAUGCUGUACGUGCAGAUAGACGACUGCUUGAAGCCGUGGGCUGCGUCCCAAACCACAUACUUACCUGCUUAUAUAGUAGCUCAGAUACAUGUAUUUCACUUCCUACUAUAUAGUACACUAAAAUAUACAUGUAUUUCUCCUACUAUAUAGGUAAAUACACGGUUUGGGACGCAGCCGUGCUCUCAUUUUUGCCGUCAAACGGUUGAGCACUGCCGUGUGUGUACGUGUCCUGCCGCAAAAUGCGGUGAAAACUCCCACACGAGGUUAACAGUGUGAUUAAGGUGUGUACAUGUCUGUAAUACACUUCGAUAACGCGACUACAAUAGGAAUACUCCACAUGUCUUAAUUCCAUUUGUGUUUACUUUGAGUAUGACUUUAGUCGGAUUAAGGUCAUCAAUAAUCGCUGUUUAUAUGCUAGUUUCUUAAUCAGAGUAUCGUCUUAAUCGGGUUAAUAUCAAUAUUUGUCCAUGUAAAUGUGCUGAGUGAUUAUUUUCCUAAAGCAGCAUGCCCUGUCAUAAUGUAUUCCUUACACCUUACAUCUGACGAACACAUGCGCCUCCACCAGCAUUUGCUGAACCGUUUAACUGAUGAUUCUUCAUCAAAGGCAUUCCCCCCCCCCCCCUUUCCUAACCGAAUAUCCGUUCAUUAGCUGAUUCAUUACAAAGAAUUCGGAUAAUAAAAUUAAUCAAGUGUCACAUCCUAAGUCUGUGCAUUUGACUGUUUUUCCUGUUCUAAGAAACUGAAGAUGCGAGUCGGGAUGAGAACUGAGAGCCGACCAUUUAAGAAAUCGCCUCUAUACACCGUUCUUUUUUGAACACAGACGAACAGAGUUGAAAAUUCUGGAACAGAAACCAUGUGCGCGCGGUGUCCACAUGUACACGCACGCAAACACCUGGAAACAGUAACACAGCAGCCUACCUUUGGCUUAAGAUGCUCCCUCUGUGACCAGGUUAAAAUCCAGUGAGGUCAAGAGAAACCUGGGUGAGAAAGGACAGAGAGAAGAAACCAGUCAUAUUCAGGAACUAAAACAAAAUCAGUCGCGAGUGGGACGGAGCUGCAAAUCGAACUGCUUUUAGUCCACAUCGAUUCAGCCAAGUGUGGCAGAAAUGCUGUGUAAGCACACGCACACACAAAAAUCACAAGUAUGAGCUAUAGCAGCUGCGUGGGUGAGUGCAUGUGCCACCUUCGGAUUAAACACC
This is a long non-coding RNA of Ictalurus punctatus (channel catfish), 6991 nucleotides long. The record is from Ensembl. Lineage: Eukaryota; Metazoa; Chordata; Actinopteri; Siluriformes; Ictaluridae.